This is a long non-coding RNA of Nothoprocta perdicaria, 141 nucleotides long. RefSeq lists it as uncharacterized. NCBI's taxonomy places the organism in Eukaryota, Metazoa, Chordata, Aves, Tinamiformes, Tinamidae. The record is from RefSeq and is a predicted model, not a curated record. The transcript is spliced from 3 exons.
UCAGGAGUAUUGUAUGCUGGCAUUUCUUUAUGGGGUGAGGAGAAUCUAAAACCUGCCAACUGCUGAUAUGGACUCAGAGAGCCAGGAAUAAGCAUAAGCAAGUACGAAGAAAGACUGGCUCUGUCACCUCCUCCCAGCACA